GACACAAGAAGGUACCAAAGAAAAUGAAAAAACCCUUGGUAGUAACGGAAGCAUGAAAAAUUAAGCGCCCCCAUUUCUCCCAAACCAAGUUCGCGUAUGUUUUCGUGAACAAACACCUUGGAUCUUUCCGGUUCGCCAGGGCAGCGAGCAAAGCAGCAGCGAACGGAAACCCCGCAGGGCUGCGCACCGCAGCUAAACCGACGCUCGCAGGAGAGGGGAAGUGAGUGGCAGGGUUCCCUGCCAAGACUCACUGCUGGGAAACAGGCAGUGAGUGGAAGCAGCAGCAGCUCUGGAGACCCCAGCGGAGACAACACUCUACCUGGACAUUUUAUUUGCUGUAAUGUUCUUACGAGUUGCAAGCCUGGUCCACUUUUUACUUCACAACUAAUGUGGAAGAGAACACAUCUGAUUCCAAGGAGAGGAGACUCAUCUCUUGUCCUCAAUAACAAAUGAGGAAUCUGAAGAGCUUGUUUUAAACAAUUUUGGUGGUCUUACAACCCACUGGCAUAGAAUCUCGAGUGUACUUCUUUCUAUUCACCAUGCCACCUACUUCUACUGCAGACAUGAAAUUAAUCAAGAUCACGUAGAAAUCCAUUGGCUUGGGAGGACAGAACAAUCUUAUUCAUAGAAACAUGAUGUUACUUUAUUAGUAAACAAAUUCAGUAU
RNAcentral lists this long non-coding RNA (666 nucleotides) under Homo sapiens (human). RNAcentral describes it as "HSALNT0303276". Lineage: Eukaryota; Metazoa; Chordata; Mammalia; Primates; Hominidae. The record is from RNAcentral.